RNAcentral lists this ribosomal RNA (461 nucleotides) under uncultured bacterium. RNAcentral describes it as "partial 16S ribosomal RNA". It matches the Rfam family "Bacterial small subunit ribosomal RNA", at positions 29 to 523 of the family's 1533-position model. The record is from RNAcentral.
AACGAACGCUGGCGGCAUGCCUAACACAUGCAAGUCGAACGUGAUCCGUGCCUUCGGGUGCGGUGAAAGUGGCGCACGGGUGAGUAACGCGUGGGAACCUGCCCAAUGGUAGGGAAUAACCGCGGGAAACUGCGGCUAAUACCCUAUGAGCCCUACGGGGGAAAGAUUUAUCGCCGUUGGAGGGGCCCGCGUCGGAUUAGGUAGUUGGUGGGGUAAUGGCUCACCAAGCCUUCGAUCCGUAGCUGGUCUGAGAGGAUGAUCAGCCACACUGGGACUGAGACACGGCCCAGACUCCUACGGGAGGCAGCAGUGGGGAAUAUUGGACAAUGGGGGCAACCCUGAUCCAGCAAUGCCGCGUGAGUGAAGAAGGCCUUAGGGUUGUAAAGCUCUUUCGGCGGGGACGAUGAUGACGGUACCCGCAGAAGAAGCCCCGGCUAACUCCGUGCCAGCCGCCGCGGUAA